UGGCGUAGUGGUCACUGCACUCGCCUUGCACGCGGGAGACCUGGGUUCGAUUCCCUG
RNAcentral lists this transfer RNA (57 nucleotides) under Diaphorina citri (Asian citrus psyllid). It matches the Rfam family "tRNA", at positions 8 to 63 of the family's 71-position model. From Rfam's summary of the family: Transfer RNA (tRNA) molecules are approximately 80 nucleotides in length. The record is from Rfam by way of RNAcentral. Lineage: Eukaryota; Metazoa; Arthropoda; Insecta; Hemiptera; Psyllidae.